RNAcentral lists this ribosomal RNA (223 nucleotides) under Paenibacillus sp. IR15. RNAcentral's name for it is "partial 16S ribosomal RNA". It matches the Rfam family "Bacterial small subunit ribosomal RNA", at positions 600 to 825 of the family's 1533-position model. Lineage: Bacteria; Bacillati; Bacillota; Bacilli; Caryophanales; Paenibacillaceae. The record is from RNAcentral.
UCCCGGGGCUCAACCCGGAUCGCACUGGAAACUGGGUGACUUGAGUGCAGAAGAGGAGAGUGGAAUUCCACGUGUAGCGGUGAAAUGCGUAGAUAUGUGGAGGAACACCAGUGGCGAAGGCGACUCUCUGGGCUGUAACUGACGCUGAGGCGCGAAAGCGUGGGGAGCAAACAGGAUUAGAUACCCUGGUAGUCACGCCGUAAACGAUGAGUGCUAGGUGUUA